UACGAAGGGGGCUAGCGUUGCUCGGAAUCACUGGGCGUAAAGCGCACGUAGGCGGCUUGUUAAGUCAGGGGUGAAAUCCUGGAGCUCAACUCCAGAACUGCCUUUGAUACUGGCGAGCUUGAGUUCGGGAGAGGUGAGUGGAACUGCGAGUGUAGAGGUGAAAUUCGUAGAUAUUCGCAAGAACACCAGUGGCGAAGGCGGCUCACUGGCCCGAUACUGACGCUGAGGUGCGAAAGCUAGGGGAGCAAACGGG
Molecule: ribosomal RNA, 253 nt
Filed under: uncultured bacterium
Lineage: Bacteria
Description: partial 16S ribosomal RNA
Rfam family: Bacterial small subunit ribosomal RNA
Source: RNAcentral